UUGAUCCUGCCGGACCCGACUGCUAUCAGAGUGAGACUAAGCCAUGCGAGUCAACGUAUGAAUAAUACGUGGCGAACGGCUCAGUAACACGUAGUCAACAUGCCCAAAGGACGUGGAUAACCUCGGGAAACUGAGGAUAAACCGCGAUAGGUCAUAAGUACUGGAAUGUUUUAUGGCUCAAAUCUACAUGGCCUCUGGAUUGGACUGCGGCCGAUCAGGCUGUUGGUGAGGUAAUGGCCCACCAAACCUGUUACCGGUACGGGCUCUGAGAGGAGGAGCCCGGAGAUGGGCACUGAGACAAGGGCCCAGGCCCUAUGGGGCGCAGCAGGCGCGAAACCUCUGCAAUAGGCGAAAGCUUGACAGGGUUACUCUGAGUGAUUCCCGCUAAGGGAAUCUUUUGGCAUCUCUAAAAACGAUGCAGAAUAAGGGGUGGGCAAGUCUGGUGUCAGCCGCCGCGGUAAUACCAGCACCCCGAGUGGUCGGGACGAUUAUUGGGCCUAAAGCAUCCGUAGCCGGUCUUGCAAGUCUUCCGUUAAAUCCACCUGCUUAACAGAUGGGCUGCGGAAGAUACUACAAGACUAGGAGGCGGGAGAGGCAAGCGGUACUCAGUGGGUAGGGGUAAAAUCCUCUGAUCCAUUGAAGACCACCAGUGGCGAAGGCGGCUUGCCAGAACGCGCUCGACGGUGAGGGAUGAAAGCUGGGGGGAGCAAACCGGAUUAGAUACC
This 725-nucleotide ribosomal RNA is filed under the name uncultured Nitrososphaerota archaeon. Its description in RNAcentral is "bacterial SSU rRNA". It matches the Rfam family "Archaeal small subunit ribosomal RNA", at positions 8 to 737 of the family's 1478-position model. Lineage: Archaea; Thermoproteati; Nitrososphaerota. The record is from RNAcentral.